Molecule: ribosomal RNA, 2959 nt
Filed under: Dunaliella tertiolecta
Lineage: Eukaryota; Viridiplantae; Chlorophyta; Chlorophyceae; Chlamydomonadales; Dunaliellaceae
Description: Bacterial large subunit ribosomal RNA
Rfam family: Bacterial large subunit ribosomal RNA
Source: RNAcentral
AAUGAACUUAGGCUUACGGUGGAGACCUAGGCACCCAGAGACGAAGAAGGGCGCAGAUACCGGCGAAACGCUCCGGGGAGUUGGCAACAAACUUUGAUCCGGAGAUCCCCGAAUAGGGCAACCUGUACAACUUCCAACAGAAUUCAUAAGUUGGAAAGAGGCAACCCAGUGAAUUGAAACAUCUUAGUAGCUGGAGGAAAAGAAAGCAAACGCGAUUCCCGUAGUAGCGGCGAGCGAACCGGGAACAGCCUAAACCCAUUUCCAUUAGGGAAUGGGGGUAGUGGGAAGACAUUAUAAAAAAUAGAAAAUAAGAGAAAUUUCUAAUCAGCGAAGCUGUUAAAAAUUUCUUCUCUUUAAAAAUUUUCUAAAAACGAAACAGCUGAAUCCUGUACCAUAGAUGGUGAAAGUCCAGUAGUUGAAAUGAAAAAAAACAAAAUGUCUUAUCCCGAGUAGCAUGGGACACGUGGAAUCCCGUGUGAAUCAGCGAGGACCACCUCGUAAGGCUAAAUACUCCUGGGUGACCGAUAGUGAAAUAGUACUGCGAAGGAAAGGUGAAAAGAACCCUCGUAUAGGGAGUGAAAUAGAACAUGAAACCGUAAGCUGACAAGCAGUGGGAGGUUAAGAGCUGACCGCGUGCCUGUUGAAGAAUGAGCCGGCGACUUAGAGGGAGUGGCAAAAAGGUUAAGGAGAAACAUCCGGAGCCAACGCGAAAGCGAGUCCGAAAAUUCGGCGAAGAAUUUGUCAUUUCCUCUGGACCCGAACCCGGGUGAUCUAAUCAUGACCAACAUGAAGCUUGGGUAACACUAAGUGGAGGUGUGCACCGACCGAUGUUGAAAAAUCGGCGGAUGAGUUGUGAUUAUGCGCAGAAAUUGCAAUCGAACUCGGAGCUAGCUGGAUCUCCCCGAAAUGCGUUGAGGCGCAGCGGCAACGACGAGCUAUCAUAAGGUAAAGCUACUGUUUCGAUGCGGGCUGCGAGAGCGGUACCAAAUCGUGGCAAACUCAGAAUGUAUGAUAUUGCCUACCGUUAGCCAGUGAGACCCAAGGUGAUAAGAUCUUCGGUCAAGAGGGAAACAGCCCAGAUCACCAGCUAAGGCCCCUAAAUGGUUUCUAAGUGGAAAAGGAUGUGAGAGUGCAGAAACAACCAGGAGGUUUGCUUAGAAGCAGCAAUUUCCUUGAAAGAGUGCGUAAUAGCUCACUGGUAAAGCGUUCUUGCGCCGAUAAUGGCCGGGACUAAGAAACCUGCCGAAGCUGUGAGAUUCUUAUAUAAGAAUCGGUAGGGGAGCGUUCCGUUAUUGGGUGAAGUUAUGGUGUAAACCAGAAUGGACAAAACGGAAGUGAGAAUGUCGGCUUGAGUAACGAAAACAUUGGUGAGAAUCCAAUGCCCCGAAAACCGUUGGGUUCCUCCACUAGGUUCGUCCAUGGGGGGUUAGUCAGGUCCUAAGGCUAGGCCGAAAGGCGUCGUCGAUGGCAAACAGGUUAAUAUUCCUGUACUGAUUCUAUUGGGAACAAGGGACGAAGAAGGCUAAACUGAGACUACUAAUGGAUUAUAGUGGAAGCGUCAAGGUGUUGAGAGUUAGAAGAAAAACUAAACUUGAGCUGAGGCGUUAUCCCGAUAACAAUCCUUCGGGGUUGUUGUCGUCAGUGAUGUCAUGCUUCCAAGAAAAGCUUGAGCUCCAUAACAAUAGAAUUACCUGUACCUAAAACCGACACAGGUAGGUGAGUAGAGAAUACUAAGGGGCGCGAGAGAACUCUCUCUAAGGAACUCGGCAAACUGGCCCCGUAACUUCGGAAGAAGGGGCGCCUUUAAUUUCAUUAAAGGUCGCAGUAAACAGGCCCAGGCAACUGUUUAUCAAAAACAUAGGUCUCCGCAAAGUCGAAAGACUAUAUAUGGGGGCUGACGCCUGCCCAGUGCCGGAAGGUUAAGGAAGUUGGUUAGAGAGCUUGUCUCUCGAAGCUGACGACCGAAGCCCCGGUGAACGGCGGCCGUAACUAUAACGGUCCUAAGGUAGCGAAAUUCAUUGUCGAGUAAGUUUCGACCUGCACGAAAGGUGUAAUGAUCUGGGCGCUGUCUCGGAGAGAGACUCGGUGAAAUAGACAUGUCCGUGAAGAUGCGGACUACCAAUACUAGGACAGAAAGACCCUAUGAAGCUUGACUGUAUCCUGGAAUUGAACUCGGGCUUUUCUUGCGCAGCCUAGGUGGGAGGCGUUGAAGGUCCCCUUCCGGGGGGGCUGGAGCCAUCAUUGAGAGACCACUCUGGAAGAGCUAGAGUUCUAAUGGUGAUCUUUGAAACAAGACACUUGACAGUUUCAGGUGGGCAGUUUUCCUGGGGCGGGAACCUCCCAAAGCGUAACGGAGGUGUGCAAAGGUUCUCUCAGUCUGGACGGAAAUCAGACAUUGAGUGUAAAGGCAAAAGAGAGCUUGACUGUAAGACCAACAAGUCGAGCAGGGGCGAAAGCCGGCCUUAGUGAUCCGACGGUGCCGUGUGGAAGGGCCGUCGCUCAACGGACAAAAGUUACUCUAGGGAUAACAGGCUGAUCUUCCCCAAGAGUUCAUAUCGACGGGAAGGUUUGGCACCUCGAUGUCGGCUCAUCACAUCCUGGAGCGGUAGUACGUUCCAAGGGUUGGGCUGUUCGCCCAUUAAAGUGGUACGUGAGCUGGGUUCAGAACGUCGUGAGACAGUUUGGUCCAUAUCCGGUAUUGGCGUAAGAGCAUUGAGAGGAGUCUUUCAUAGUACGAGAGGACCUGAAAGAAUGUGCCAAUUGUGUACCAGUUCUCAUUCCAAUGGGAAACGCUGGGUAGCUAUGCACAGAGACGAUAAAAGCUGACAGCAUCUAAGUUUGAAGCUCACCUCAAGAUGAGUGCUCUCUAAUUAGGUCGCGGGAAGAUCACCCGUUUUAUAGGCGUUAGGUCUACAGUCAGUAAUGGCUUGAGCUGAGACGUACUAAAGACCAAUUGAUU